CCACAGUCUACUCACCAAGGCUGCACUAAAUGUCCAACCUGUCAGCAGCAUUGACUAAUGCUAAUCCCUUUGUACAGGAUCAUCUCUCAAGGACACCAACAAUCUACUUGGUGGGAUAAGUUUCCUCCAUUGGACCCCUUCUGUAUUGGAAGAAACAAAGAAUGCAUUUUGACUUGACAACACAUAUUCCGGGGCUCAAGGAAAGUUUCCUGCAAUACUAGCUGAAAUGGGUCACCAGUUUCUCCUCGUGGGAGGCAACCCAAGACUCUGAUUGCGCUGAGUAAAGCUGGUCAGCUAUUUUACAAGGAAAACACCUGGCACCGAAUCCUGGGCUCUUUAGAGAACUGCUAGCUAAGCCUCUUCCCUGGGGUAAAUUCAGCGAGAAGCGCUAGAGAUACAGGGAAAGCUACAAGAGUCGUGGGUCAUGGAAGCCAUGGAAAUAGAAUUUCAAGAAGGAAGAAGUGAUUUACAGUAUCAAAUACCACCCAUAAGAGAAGGACUUUAAAAUGACCAAAUUUCACAGUCAGACCAAUUGUUAGACUUAAUAGGAACAAUUUCAGUAGAGUGGUGGAGAUGAAAGACAAAUUAAACUGCAUUUUAAAAAAUAAAUGAGAGAGCAAUGAAUUUCAACCUGCAGUAAUGAUGUUUGAGAAGGAUGACUGGAAGCUUGUCAGGACCUGGAACGUCACAAAUCCUCCAACUGGUAAAACUGAGGCAAGAAUUUGAUUCUUACAUUGCACUCUUCGUCUCUCUGAAGACGCAAGUUUCUAUGCAGUAUCAUAGUCCUUCUUCUGAAGACAUUCCCUUAAUACUUCCUGUAAUACAGUUAUCCUGGAAAUAAAUUCAGU
This 848-nucleotide long non-coding RNA is filed under the name Equus caballus (horse). RNAcentral describes it as "lncRNA (ENSECAG00000041788.2)". The record is from RNAcentral. Lineage: Eukaryota; Metazoa; Chordata; Mammalia; Perissodactyla; Equidae.